CUACGUGCCAGCAGCCGCGGUAAUACGUAGGGCGCGAGCGUUGUCCGGAAUUAUUGGGCGUAAAGAGCUUGUAGGCGGUUUGUCGCGUCUGCUGUGAAAGGCCGGAGCUUAACUCCGUGUAUUGCAGUGGGUACGGGCAGACUAGAGUGCAGUAGGGGAGACUGGAAUUCCUGGUGUAGCGGUGGAAUGCGCAGAUAUCAGGAGGAACACCGAUGGCGAAGGCAGGUCUCUGGGCUGUAACUGACGCUGAGAAGCGAAAGCAUGGGGAGCGAACAGGAUUAGAUACCCUGGUAGUCCAUGCCGUAAACGUUGGGCACUAGGUGUGGGGAACAUUCCACGUUUUCCGCGCCGUAGCUAACGCAUUAAGUGCCCCGCCUGGGGAGUACGGCCGCAAGGCUAAAACUCAAAGAAAUUGACGGGGGCCCGC
RNAcentral lists this ribosomal RNA (427 nucleotides) under uncultured bacterium. RNAcentral's name for it is "bacterial SSU rRNA". It matches the Rfam family "Bacterial small subunit ribosomal RNA", at positions 501 to 924 of the family's 1533-position model. The record is from RNAcentral.